RNAcentral lists this ribosomal RNA (1317 nucleotides) under Acanthopleura vaillantii. Its description in RNAcentral is "16S ribosomal RNA". It matches the Rfam family "Bacterial large subunit ribosomal RNA", at positions 557 to 2718 of the family's 2925-position model. Lineage: Eukaryota; Metazoa; Mollusca; Polyplacophora; Chitonida; Chitonidae. The record is from RNAcentral.
GACCUACCUUAAAAUUUAGAUUUAAAAAUCUGUUUAAAUGGAAAAAUAAUAAAGGUUUUUUUGAUUAGUAACUUUAAAUGAAGAGUUUUGUUUAUUGAUAGUACUGCGAAGGAAGUUUGGCUUAUUUAAUAGUAUAGAUGAGAUCUAGUACCUUUUGCAUUAUGGCUUAACGAGAUGUGAAGAUAGUAUAGUCUUGACUAGAAAGAGAAAGAGUUAUAACUAAACAGGAAGAUUUAAUGUUGCAAAAUUGAGUUUAGAUUUGGUUAUGGAAGUGAAAUGCUAACGGGUUUUCUGAUAGCUAGUUAAGAAAGAAAAACAUUUUAGUGUUAAUUGCAAGAGGCUGAACUACUUUUGUUUUUUAUUUGGUUAGGAUUGUAAGUUUAUAUUUUUUAGGUUGAGCUAGAAAGUAGAAGGAAAAUUUUUCUGGUUAGAAGAUAUUAUGUGGGUUUAGUAGUUUCUAUCAUUUUUAUGGUUUUAUAACAAAUUGUUUAGUAAUAAAUUAUAUUGAUUGGGUUUUCUAUUUUAUUUCUUCUCGGUUUAGAAUUAAAUAAGAACUGAUGUUUAUGCUAAGAUUAGUAUUUGUUUAUUUUACUGUUUCUGAUUUUAGAUAGGAGUGACUUGGAAAUUGGGAAAGGUUAUAUAAAUGGAGAAAAGGAACUCGGCAAAUUAGGACUUCGCCUGUUUAUCAAAAACAUCGCUCUUUGUAGAAACGAAGUAAAGAGUCGUACCUGCCCGGUGAGUGUUUUAACGGCCGCAGUACCCUGACUGUGCAAAGGUAGCAUAAUCAUUUGUCUUUUAAAUGGAGGCUGGAAUGAAUGGUUUGACGUGGUCCAACUGUCUCUUUUUUAUUAGCUAAAAUUUAAUUUUUAGGUGAAGAAGCCUGAGUGAAAUCGAAAGACGAAAAGACCCUGUCGAACUUUAAAGUAUUCUCAAAAUAUUUUCUUAAUAGAGUAAAGGUUCUUUGGGAUUCUUUUUUGUUGGGGUGACAAAAGAACAUAAAAAGCUUCUUUGAGUUAAUAAAACUAAUUGGUUGAAACGAUCCAUUAGAGUUGUAAUGAAUUAAGAUAAGUUACCGCAGGGAUAACAGCGUUAUUUUUUUGGAGAGUUCGAAUUGAAGAGAAAGAUUGCGACCUCGAUGUUGGAUUGGAGAUCCUAAUAGGUGCAGAGGCUUAUUUAAGUAGGGGGUCUGUUCGACCUUUAAAUUUCCACAUGAUCUGAGUUCAAACCGGCGUGAGCCAGGUUGGUUUCUAUCUUCGAUUGUUUAAUGGUACCGAUUUUAGUACGAAAGGAUUAAAUUGGUGAAAUUUUUUUAUUGUU